Molecule: unclassified non-coding RNA, 222 nt
Filed under: Ascomycota sp.
Lineage: Eukaryota; Fungi; Ascomycota
Description: partial contains small subunit ribosomal RNA, internal transcribed spacer 1, and 5.8S ribosomal RNA
Rfam family: Eukaryotic small subunit ribosomal RNA (bases 1-47)
Source: RNAcentral
AAAGUCGUAACAAGGUCUCCGUUGGUGAACCAGCGGAGGGAUCAUUAGCGAGUUAUAAACUCCCAACCCUCGUGGACACACCUAUCGUUGCUUCGGCGGGGCGCUUCGGCGCACACCUUCGGGGGACCCGCCGGCGGCACGCAAACCAAACUUUAUCUUCUGGCGUAUUCUGAGUAAACUACAAAUAAGUUAAAACUUUCAGCAACGGAUCUCUUGGUUCUG